UGGUCCCGUGGUGUAGCGCUUAACAUGCCUGCCUGUCACGCAGGAGAUCGCGGGUGCGAUUCCCGUCGGGACAGCCA
Molecule: transfer RNA, 77 nt
Filed under: Priestia megaterium
Lineage: Bacteria; Bacillati; Bacillota; Bacilli; Caryophanales; Bacillaceae
Description: tRNA-Asp
Rfam family: tRNA
About the family: Transfer RNA (tRNA) molecules are approximately 80 nucleotides in length. Their secondary structure includes four short double-helical elements and three loops (D, anti-codon, and T loops). Further hydrogen bonds mediate the characteristic L-shaped molecular structure. tRNAs have two regions of fundamental functional importance: the anti-codon, which is responsible for specific mRNA codon recognition, and the 3' end, to which the tRNAs corresponding amino acid is attached (by aminoacyl-tRNA synthetases). tRNAs cope with the degeneracy of the genetic code in two manners: having more than one tRNA (with a specific anti-codon) for a particular amino acid; and 'wobble' base-pairing, i.e. permitting non-standard base-pairing at the 3rd anti-codon position.
Source: RNAcentral